GUAGGUGAACCUGCGGAAGGAUCAUUAAUGAAAUGUAAGGAUGCUCUUUUUAGAGAUCCGACCAAAUUCAUUCCUUCACACCGUGCACAACACACUUUUUUACACCCAUUUUAAACACUAUAAGUCUUAAGAAUGUCAACAGUCUCUUAGUUGAGCAUAAACAAAACAAAACUUUCGGCAACGGAUCUCUUGGCUCCC
This 198-nucleotide unclassified non-coding RNA is filed under the name rhizosphere metagenome. RNAcentral describes it as "partial ribosomal RNA internal transcribed spacer region". The record is from RNAcentral.